This 440-nucleotide ribosomal RNA is filed under the name uncultured bacterium. RNAcentral's name for it is "partial 16S ribosomal RNA". It matches the Rfam family "Bacterial small subunit ribosomal RNA", at positions 338 to 795 of the family's 1533-position model. The record is from RNAcentral.
CCUACGGGUGGCAGCAGUGGGGAAUAUUGCACAAUGGGGGAAACCCUGAUGCAGCGACGCCGCGUGAGUGAAGAAGUAUUUCGGUAUGUAAAGCUCUAUCAGCAGGGAAGAUAAUGACGGUACCUGAGUAAGAAGCCCAGGCUAACUACGUGCCAGCAGCCGGGGUAAUACGUAGGGGGCAAGCGUUAUCCGGAUUUACUGGGGGUAAAGGGAGCGUAGACGGCAUGGCAAGGCUGAAGGGAAAGCCCGGGGCUUAACCGCGGGACGGCUUUGGAAACUGUUGAGCUGGAGUGCAGGAGAGGUAUGUGGAAUGCCUGGUGUAGCGGUGAAAUGCGUAGAUAUUAGGAGGAACACCAGUGGCGAAGGCGGCUUACUGGAGUGUAACUGACGUUGAGGCUCGAAAGCGUGGGGAGCAAACAGGAUUAGAUACCCGAGUAGUC